This 253-nucleotide ribosomal RNA is filed under the name uncultured bacterium. RNAcentral describes it as "partial 16S ribosomal RNA". It matches the Rfam family "Bacterial small subunit ribosomal RNA", at positions 524 to 776 of the family's 1533-position model. The record is from RNAcentral.
UACGUAGGUGACAAGCGUUGUCCGGAUUUACUGGGCGUAAAGCGCGCGCAGGCGGUCGAUCAAGUCGAGUGUGAAAGCCCCCGGCUCAACUGGGGAGGGUCAUUCGAUACUGAUCGACUCGAAGGCAGGAGAGGGUAGUGGAAUUCCCGGUGUAGUGGUGAAAUGCGUAGAUAUCGGGAGGAACACCAGUGGCGAAGGCGACUACCUGGCCUGUUCUUGACGCUGAGGCGCGAAAGCUAGGGGAGCAAACGGG